CCUACGGGAGGCUGCAGUGGGGAAUAUUGGACAAUGGGCGAAAGCCUGAUCCAGCCAUGCCGCGUGUGUGAAGAAGGCCUUCGGGUUGUAAAGCACUUUCAGUGGGGAAGAAAGCCUUGGGGCUAAUACCCUCGAGGAAGGACAUCACCCACAGAAGAAGCACCGGCUAACUCCGUGCCAGCAGCCGCGGUAAUAUGGAGGGUGCGAGCGUUAAUCGGAAUUACUGGGCGUAAAGCGCGCGUAGGCGGUCUGAUAAGCCGGUUGUGAAAGCCCCGGGCUCAACCUGGGAACGGCAUCCGGAACUGUCAGGCUAGAGUGCAGUAGAGGAAGGUAGAAUUCCCGGUGUAGCGGUGAAAUGCGUAGAGAUCGGGAGGAAUACCAGUGGCGAAGGCGGCCUUCUGGACUGACACUGACGCUGAGGUGCGAAAGCGUGGGUAGCAAACAGGAUUAGAUACCCCGGUAGUC
This 465-nucleotide ribosomal RNA is filed under the name Vreelandella stevensii. RNAcentral describes it as "partial 16S ribosomal RNA". It matches the Rfam family "Bacterial small subunit ribosomal RNA", at positions 338 to 795 of the family's 1533-position model. Lineage: Bacteria; Pseudomonadati; Pseudomonadota; Gammaproteobacteria; Oceanospirillales; Halomonadaceae. The record is from RNAcentral.